This 116-nucleotide ribosomal RNA is filed under the name Brassica oleracea var. oleracea. The record is from RNAcentral. Lineage: Eukaryota; Viridiplantae; Streptophyta; Magnoliopsida; Brassicales; Brassicaceae.
UGCGAUCAUACCAGCACUAAUGCACCGGAUCCCAUCAUAACUCCGCAGGUAAGGGUGCUUGGGCGAUAGUAGUACUAGGAUGGGUGACCACCCGGGAAGUCUGUGAGAAUUAGUGA